This 293-nucleotide ribosomal RNA is filed under the name uncultured bacterium. Its description in RNAcentral is "partial 16S ribosomal RNA". It matches the Rfam family "Archaeal small subunit ribosomal RNA", at positions 455 to 747 of the family's 1478-position model. The record is from RNAcentral.
GUGCCAGCCGCCGCGGUAAUACCGGCAGCCCGAGUGAUGGCCGAUCUUAUUGGGCCUAAAGCGUCCGUAGCUGGCCAGACAAGUCCGUUGGGAAAUCCCCGCGCUCAACGCGUGGGCGUCCAGCGGAAACUGCCUGGCUUGGGGCCGGAGGACUCGAGGGGUACGUCCGGGGUAGGAGUGAAAUCCCAUAAUCCCGCACGGACCACCGAUGGCGAAAGCACUUCGAGAAAACGGAUCCGACAGUGAGGGACGAAAGCCAGGGUGUCCAACCGGAUUAGAUACCCCAGUAGUCC